This 275-nucleotide ribosomal RNA is filed under the name uncultured bacterium. RNAcentral's name for it is "partial 16S ribosomal RNA". It matches the Rfam family "Bacterial small subunit ribosomal RNA", at positions 338 to 628 of the family's 1533-position model. The record is from RNAcentral.
CCUACGGGGGGCUGCAGUCGAGAAUAUUCCACAAUGGACGCAAGUCUGAUGGAGCGACGCCGCGUGCAGGAUGACGGCCUUCGGGUUGUAAACUGCGGUAGCUAGGGAAGAACUUUGUGACGGUACCUAGCGGAAAGAGGCGGGUAACUACGUGCCAGCACCAGCGGUAAUACGUAGGCCUCAAGCGUUAUCCGGAUUUAUUGGGCGUAAAGAGCAUGUAGGAGGCUUUUCAAGUCUUUGGUUAAAGACCACCGCCUAACGGUGGGAGUGCCGAG